CAGUGAGAGAAAGAGAGAGAGGGAAAGAUGAAGAGAGAGACAUGAAAGAGUCAAUUUAUCUCUAUCUUUCCCCAUACCUUUCAUUCUCUCUCUCUCACUCCACCUCUCUCUUUCCUUAUUUUUUCAUGUACUCUCAAAAUUUUUACGCUUUUAGCAUUUAUGGCUUUAACUUUAUAUUUUUAUUUUUUUUAAUUUAGGACACGUACUUUCAUAUUUUUACAAUUUAGAACAUGUACUUUCACCUUUUUACACUUAGAUGACAAAAUGAGCGAUGGCAUAAAAUUUCAUGACAUGGCAUGCUGACUUGGCACCCAUGCAUGACGUAGACUAAUGUGGCAUUGAAGUGGCAUGCAUAACGCCAUAUCAGUGUUAUUUAACACCGUUAGCAAUUUGUCCUCUCGUAAAAAUGAAGUCAAAGUUCCUGUCUUUAAUUGACAUAAAACAAAAUAUAUGUCCUCAAUGCUAAAAAGGCCAAAAUACAGGGUACUAAAGUGUACUUAGACUUUUUUUUUUUUUUUAAUUCUUUUCGAGUUUUGGAUUGGUGGAGUUUGAAGCUGAUGAUUUGGGGUAAUGAGAGAGUAAACAAAACUUCUUAGAGGUAAAUUGGGGAAGGAAUUUGAGAAUUCGACGAGGAAUCGAGUUAUCAUUUGAUGCGUUAGAUAAGGAUUUGUCUUUUUCUUGUUUUUUUCCCCCCCUUGAUCUGGUUUGGUUCUAU
Molecule: unclassified non-coding RNA, 715 nt
Filed under: Hevea brasiliensis (rubber tree)
Lineage: Eukaryota; Viridiplantae; Streptophyta; Magnoliopsida; Malpighiales; Euphorbiaceae
Source: RNAcentral